AACGAACGCUGGCGGCAGGCCUAAUACAUGCAAGUCGAACGGAUGUAGCAAUACAUUAGUCGCGCACGGGUGCGGAACACGUGGGAACAUACCCUUUGGUAAGGAAUAAUGUCUGGAAACGGACACUAAUACCUUAUAAUUACUUCGGUCUAAAGAUUUAGCGCCAAAGGAUUGGCCCGCGUCUGAUUAGGUGGUUGGUGGGGCAAUGGCCUACCAAGCCUACGAUCAGUAGCUGGGUUGAGAGGAUGAUCAGCCACACUGGAACUGAGACACGGUCCAGAAUCCUACGGGAGGCAGGAGUAAGGAAUAUUGGACAAUGGGCGCAAGCCUGAUCCAGCCAUGCCGCGUGAGUGAAGAAGGCCUUAGGGUUGUAAAGCUCUUUCAAUAGUGAAGAUAAUGACGGUAGCUAUAGAAGAAGCCCCGGCUAAAUUCGUGCCAGCCGCCGCAGUAA
RNAcentral lists this ribosomal RNA (451 nucleotides) under uncultured bacterium. RNAcentral's name for it is "partial 16S ribosomal RNA". It matches the Rfam family "Bacterial small subunit ribosomal RNA", at positions 29 to 523 of the family's 1533-position model. The record is from RNAcentral.